This 73-nucleotide transfer RNA is filed under the name Felis catus (domestic cat). It matches the Rfam family "tRNA". Rfam says of the family: Transfer RNA (tRNA) molecules are approximately 80 nucleotides in length. Their secondary structure includes four short double-helical elements and three loops (D, anti-codon, and T loops). Lineage: Eukaryota; Metazoa; Chordata; Mammalia; Carnivora; Felidae. The record is from Rfam by way of RNAcentral.
GCCAAGCAGGCUCAGUCACUAGGGCACGUGACUUCUGAUCUCAGGGUCAUGAGUUCGAGCCCCAUGUUGGGCA